GGGCGCGAAGACGGGGUCUGGGGCAGAAAAGAAGGGAGGCUGGAGAAAUCUGGACCCGAGACGUAGUAAGUACAACUUGGCAAAUACAUGUUAGAGGAGCAGGGACCACGCUCAUCAAAAUCCAUCAUUGGGCUACCUUGGGCUCUCCGCAGUAGCCGAGCUUAACAUGAUUCUCCACUGCAGCUGCCUCUUUGAAGCGGAUCCGUGAAGUAGAAAUUUGGAGACGUAAGCUGACGUGGAAAUCUAUCCCCAUCCUUAGCAGGGAGGUGCUGGUCAUGUGACCCGAUGUUGAAAUUGACAAGCUGCGAGCUAGUCCGGGCCUUUUUUUCCCCCUCCUUUCCUUUUUUUUUUUUUUCCUCCCCUCCCCUCCCUCCCGGCUUCCUUUCUUUGUAGCCACCUCAGGGGAAGCAACAGAUCGUCACUCGGUGUUCUCACCGAAAGCACGUAAUCGCCGGUGUAACUCAUGUUCGCUGGGGGCCUCCCGGCGCGCGGAGAGGCUGGGGUGCGCCCUCAUGCAGCAUGCUUGUGCUCAAUUGCAGGGUCCUGGUUCUCGAGUGUGCAGAGGGCGGUGAGAGCUCAACUCUCGUGCCCACCUCCCACCCGCAGCUCUCCGGGUGGGUGAGGGGUGCCCUGGACUGGGGAUAGCCAGGUGGGAGCCCGUCGCUGUGUGGCUUGUGGUCUCGGAGUCUGUUCUCCUGGAGGCUCGCAUUUGCACCCCGUUCUUCGCAGUCCCCCUCCCAUAGACUUGCUCUGGGAAGCGCCUCUGCCUCCGACCCUAGCCGGCACCCCUUCGGGGCCAGAGUUUGAAGCCGUGGAUGUGCCUGCCUCGUGGCUUGUCCGAUUUGCACGGUGACUUGAUUACACUCUCUCAUUCAUGGUCACUUCCGAAGCGCUUUAGUGCCUUCCGUCCCUAAACCGCCCACAGCCAGAACGGCUUCUCCCCGCGGUUUGUCACUGAUCCGCAGGGCCCAGAAGGGCCUUCGUCUUACCCGGGAUCCACCUCUCCCCUCAUCUUCCCUGCCUGCCUCCUCAUCCCACCUUCUGUCCUUGGAGAAACCCCCUCCUCCUCGCUGCCUGCCGGGCUUCGGAGUGACUCGGCAGAGACAGAGGUACAGGGGCUGCCCCGCUGCUCACCGGUCCACCCAUCUGCCUGGUCUUCUGGAGCUGAGGACGCGGGAAACCAUGCAAUUGAGGCAACCCUUGGGCUGCUUUAGAGGCGCUGACAUCCGAGGAGCCUUCUCCUGGGAUUGAAGGAGCAAUGUUUGGAGGAAGCGAAAGAAGGGAGAGGACACAGAGCAGCCAGGCAGGGCCAGGAGCUGAGAGGGGCCCAGACCUGAGGCCUCCCAACAACUCUCUUCUUGCAAGGAUCUGGAGUGUUGCUGAAGGAAAAUAAAAGAUAUAUAAAAAG
Mandrillus leucophaeus (drill) is the source of this 1408-nucleotide long non-coding RNA. RefSeq lists it as uncharacterized. The transcript is spliced from 2 exons. The record is from RefSeq and is a predicted model, not a curated record. NCBI's taxonomy places the organism in Eukaryota, Metazoa, Chordata, Mammalia, Primates, Cercopithecidae.